This is a long non-coding RNA of Melitaea cinxia (Glanville fritillary), 86 nucleotides long. RefSeq lists it as uncharacterized. Lineage: Eukaryota; Metazoa; Arthropoda; Insecta; Lepidoptera; Nymphalidae. The transcript has 3 exons. The record is from RefSeq and is a predicted model, not a curated record.
AUAAUAAUAUUCAUAGGUUGCAUAUAACACUGGGUAUAUACCUAAGUUUGUAGUGUACUCAAUGUUAAGAUAUAAAUUUUAAUUUU